AUUGAACGCUGGCGGCAGGCCUAACACAUGCAAGUCGAGCGGAUGAAGGGAGCUUGCUCCUGGAUUCAGCGGCGGACGGGUGAGUAAUGCCUAGGAAUCUGCCUGGUAGUGGGGGAUAACGUCCGGAAACGGGCGCUAAUACCGCAUACGUCCUGAGGGAGAAAGUGGGGGAUCUUCGGACCUCACGCUAUCAGAUGAGCCUAGGUCGGAUUAGCUAGUUGGUGGGGUAAAGGCCUACCGAGGCGACGAUCCGUAACUGGUCUGAGAGGAUGAUCAGUCACACUGGAACUGAGACACGGUCCAGACUCCUACGGGAGGCAGCAGUGGGGAAUAUUGAACAAUGGGCGAAAGCCUGAUCCAGCCAUGCCGCGUGUGUGAAGAAGGUCUUCGGAUUGUAAAGCACUUUAAGUUGGGAGGAAGGGCAGUAAGUUAAUACCUUGCUGUUUUGACGUUACCAACAGAAUAAGCACCGGCUAACUUCGUG
Molecule: ribosomal RNA, 484 nt
Filed under: uncultured bacterium
Lineage: Bacteria
Description: partial 16S ribosomal RNA
Rfam family: Bacterial small subunit ribosomal RNA
Source: RNAcentral